Molecule: long non-coding RNA, 930 nt
Organism: Brassica oleracea var. oleracea
Lineage: Eukaryota; Viridiplantae; Streptophyta; Magnoliopsida; Brassicales; Brassicaceae
Exons: 4
Source: RefSeq, a predicted model, not a curated record
CUCUUCAACACAGGCCAAGAACUUUUCAUGUGAUAGAAGAGGGACCACGCGAGCAAAGGAAUCAGUUGUUUUCUGUUUUAGGGUCUCUCACUGAUCUAGAAGAAGAAGAAUCAAAGGACUCCUCAGAGGGACAGGUAACAGGUUGCUUCUGUAGAUAUUAAACUACCAAGAAGAAGAAGUUUGCAAGUGGAGUUCAGUUACAACUCAUGCGGAGACAGAACUAAACGGCUUAUCAACCGUUUGGCUUAUGAAUGUGGCCUUGUCUUUGUCCAGUGUGGUGGAUGUCUUAAGCAUCAUAAGCUGGUUGACAAUCUUGGUCAUUGUUGAGUAGGACUUCCGCAAAGAAACCUCCAAGGAUUCAAGUACGGAUCAAAUUUGAUAUGACUUUCGAUAAAAAAAUGUAUUAUUUUUAAUCAAAUGUGUUUGGUAUACAAUGGAGAAAAAUGUAGCUUUUGGAGUUGAUACAUAGGUGAUAUAGUGAGAAGAAAGCUAGAGACUUUAGGCUCUGAUAGCCAGCAGGAGGAGAGUUCCCAGUACAGUGCUGAGCCACAUUGCUACUCUUCCUUCUAGCUGGUUCAAGGCAUUUUCUCCGUUCUGUAAAACCAGAAAUUAAAGAUUGUUAUAUAAUUCAGUGUGGUGAUAGUGCGUUUCUUUUUGAAGAUUGUAGUUUAGUAAGAGAGUGUUACCGCAUUCUGAAAUGGUGAUGGUGGAGACGUGUCCUGGGAAUCUGUUAGAACUGGACGAGAUGGAGGGCUUGGAGGAGUUGGUGCUGGAGGUGGGGCAUGGUAAUGUCUCUUGUGUUUGUGCUUUUUCUUGUACUUGGCAGGAGCUGAUGCUGGUGUUAGAGUUAUUGGUGUAAGCGCUAGAGGCGGUGAAGCUGGUGGUGCAGAAGGUGAUGCCUGUGGGGGAGAGGCCGGAGCAAGCGGUGGU